GUAAAAUUGUCUAUAAAAAUCAAUCGAUUCCUCACCAUUUCAACUUUUCUUUUGAAAUGGAGAGGUAUGAGGGAGAGAUCCACCUCACCACCACGGCCGUGAGAAUCUCCCCAUUUACUCACGGGAGUGGGAUCCCAUCAUCCCACCCUACAGUGCAACCGUGGGUGGGUGGGUCGUGGCCCAUGGGGUAUCUCACCCUAAGGGUGGGUUGCGAGAUCCUACCUGUGAGUCUGUGACCCACCUACGAGAGAAAUUUCACCUUGCAGGUGAACGCGAGUCGCGACCACCCACCCCUGAGGUAGAAAUUAGAAUCCCCACAACCCACAAUCGGCCGGGGCUCCACCCAAGGGAAAGAUCUCCCUGACUUUCUCCCAUUAUUUUUUAAUUUUUACUUAUUUUUUAUUUUUAAAUGAAGUGGCAAAUGAGCCACAUGGCGGUCGUUGAUAGGUACAGUCUCCCCGUCUCCAUUAACGUUUUCUGUGUCUCUCCUGCACCCCAUUUCAGUUAAUACAAAACUUCAAGUCUCCAAGUUGCAAAAAUGGCGACAAAAAGAUCCACGGCUCACAAAUCGUGCUUGGAAGUUCAGGUCACAAUUUCAAUGGGAGAGAGAAAAGGUGAUGCCAUUUUCAAAUUUUAUUAAAGUUGGAGGUUGUCAACAUGCAAUCUACGCCCAAAACUUCCCUCACAUCCUGCAGGUCUGCAGGUCUGCUCAUGGCCUGACUUAAAGCCAAUUCAGUUGUUCCCAUUCCCAUAGAGGUUGUUCUAAACCAUCAUUUAGCUCCCAGCGUUCUGAGAAGAUGUUCCAGCCCCGUCACUGGGAUGUUCUUGUUGUGUUUUUCUUGUUGACAUUUCUGGGCGUCGAUCAAAUGCACGGAAGGUUCCUGAUAUCACAUACACUCUGCACAAACUGAAUUCAUGCCUCAACUGCAGGUUGAAUGUAUAGCAAAGGUGCUGGGAAGCUUAGAUUCAAAACCUGGAGUUUCAAGUAUGGACAUCAGUUGAGGAGCUUGAGGUGAAUUCCACAAAUACACGAGUAUUAUGGAAUUCAAAGCCAUUAUCGUAGAAUAUGUAAAAUAAGAUCUUUAUUUUUUUUUUAAAAAAAAAAAACAAAAUCUCCUUGAUUAUGUAAGGACCUAGCUAACAUAUCAUCUUUACAAAUUGAGUAUUGCUAUGGGUACAAUAGCUUAUACUACAAUUAUCUUACAUAUUGAUGUAGUAAUUUACUUGACACUUAUCACACUUAGAAUCAAAUUAAUAUGACAGUUUAUGUGGCACUUGAUACGUUAGCUAUUAAAAUAAAAGCCGCCAUGUAACAGUUCAUGUAGCUCUCAUUUUCAUACA
Molecule: long non-coding RNA, 1341 nt
Organism: Corylus avellana
Lineage: Eukaryota; Viridiplantae; Streptophyta; Magnoliopsida; Fagales; Betulaceae
Source: RefSeq, a predicted model, not a curated record